UUGCUCGGUCUUGGUCUGGGUGUCAGCCUGGCCUGGCUGCUUGAACUGAUGGAUGAGAAAGAAAGAGCGGAAGUACUGCGUUAGGUCGCAGUGUUUCUCGAACACUUCCAAGAUCUUGUCCCGGCGUUUUGUCCGCAGGCUUCAAAAGCUGCGGAACCCAUGAAUAUUCGCGGACACAGCUCAUCUGAAACCGAAACGCGUCGUUGGGCCGAUAUGAAAGGUGUCAUCCAACCUUCAAGUUAAAAGGUCAAAAAGAACCCCUGAGUUUCAUAAGGGGUAUGAGAUGAGCGACAUUACAUUGAAUUCAGGGAUUGCCGACGGGCAAACCAUCGAGCCGGCCUCACGGCCUAAUCUCGAUAAGGGUUUCAACCCGCUAACAAUGAUCCUGUUUUUUGGCAUCCUCGCCGCGGGUGCAAUAUUUGUUGCCUACAGCAUUUACGUCGAUAUCGACGCCACCGGCACCAAGGUCACGACCUAUCUUCCCUACAUCCUGCUGUUUGUUGCGCUGCUGAUUGCGCUCGGCUUCGAAUUCGUCAACGGCUUCCACGACACCGCAAACGCCGUUG
Molecule: unclassified non-coding RNA, 566 nt
Filed under: Hevea brasiliensis (rubber tree)
Lineage: Eukaryota; Viridiplantae; Streptophyta; Magnoliopsida; Malpighiales; Euphorbiaceae
Source: RNAcentral